AAGAUGGCUGAGUUUUAGGCGGUAGAUUGUAAAUUUACUUACAAGGGUUAAACCUUUCUUAUUA
This 64-nucleotide transfer RNA is filed under the name Maguimithrax spinosissimus. Its description in RNAcentral is "Damithrax spinosissimus tRNA-Tyr". Lineage: Eukaryota; Metazoa; Arthropoda; Malacostraca; Decapoda; Mithracidae. The record is from RNAcentral.